Molecule: transfer RNA, 69 nt
Filed under: Gymnura altavela (spiny butterfly ray)
Lineage: Eukaryota; Metazoa; Chordata; Chondrichthyes; Myliobatiformes; Gymnuridae
Description: tRNA-Ile
Source: RNAcentral
GAAAAGUGCCUGAAUAAAGGGCCACUUUGAUAGAGUGGAUUAUGAAUGUUAAACUCAUUCCUUUUCCUU